This 809-nucleotide long non-coding RNA is filed under the name Pan troglodytes (chimpanzee). RNAcentral's name for it is "long non-coding RNA NONPTRT008766". Lineage: Eukaryota; Metazoa; Chordata; Mammalia; Primates; Hominidae. The record is from RNAcentral.
CGAGCAGCCAGGGGGCCCAAGGGAAGCUGAACGCCGGGUGAGCUACCCGGAUGGCUCUUCCGGUUCUUUGUGCGGCCUUCACCCAGUGAGGGAGCCUGUGCCCCCCUGCCCAGUCGCUUUCGGGGCGCUGAGGAGCUUCCGCUGCCAUCUUCGGAUGCCGUGUCCCGCACGGAGGGUCCACCAGGGCAGGGAUAGUGGUGAGGGUCGCUCGUGGAUCCCCUCGCGGGGAGCAGGGUCUGGCACACACCAGGGCGCAGGAUUAGGACUUGUUGAAUGAAUCCAUCGUGGCCUUUAUCUUUUAGUCCUCUGAAGAGCGUUGAGAAUGGAAAUCAUAAGAUAUUUUUUCCAUUAGGAAGUUCUUUUUACAAGGCGUUUAUUCAGGUUGACUUCUCAGCACCCCGCGGGGCGGGCAACGGGCAGGGCCUCCAGUGCACCUUCUGCGCAGUGGAGCCGAGGGGGGCUCAGCUGGGCGGUGGUCGGGUCGUGAGGCGGGAGGGCGGGAGCGGGGGAAGGGUAAAGCAAAAGCGGGGAAAGAAGCCGGGGAGCGGUGGACCAGACAUUCAGACCUCCUGAAAGGCUCGUGCGGAGGCAGAGGCGGGAUCUUCCGGAGUGUGGAAGAUGAUCAAAGUAUGACAUUUCUUCUACCCCAGAGGUUGGCAUUUCUGCAGGCACAAAUGAGCUUGGUUUUCAAGCACCGCUCUUUGAACACAAGGAAUUCCUUUAAUGAUCACGCCGGACUAUAUAGACUUUGGAAUCAGACUCUUUGAAUUCCAGCUCUGCCAUUUACCAACUUUGACACUUUGGGUAAG